AGGGCAAUCAAUCUGUAUGGGUUUGGAGGUUUUGAAUUUAAAGUUUACGGAGAAUUACAUAUUUAAAUUUUGUUUUGUGGAGAAAUACUUUUCAAACUUUUAAUUCGAAGAUAUAUAGAAUGAUGUCAUAGUUUGAGAGACAUUUGAUGCUAUACGAUACUUCUCCUGGGGAAAUAACUCGUUUACCCUAUAAAAUUCACCCCUUACCUUAAAGAUUUCCGUUAAGCCUUUUUUCUAACAAAAAAAAUCUCAAAAAUCUGCAAGAAUAGAUAUUGGGCCUAAUUAGGCAUGUAUUCAACAGAACUAUGUAUAUAUUUUUAGAUUAGACCGAUAGGAAUGCAUUAUGGGUUUAACCCGUCUGUAGUGUAUUUCAAGUUUGCAGUGUUGCUAUUGAGAUGAGUGGGUCAAAGAAAAAAUUGUGUGAGUGGUAAUUAUCAAUUUUGCGUGUAGCCUUAACGCUUACAGUUUUUAAAAAUGUCGGUUUAUUAAAAUUAUUAAUAUACAGUAAACGUUAACGUAAACGCAAUACAAAUAUAGUGUGAUUGGUGGAAAAGAGCUGAAACAAAAAUGGUAAAAAAAGAAGGAGUAAAAGGAAGGGGAAUAAAUACGUUUACUUUCAUUAAUUACUAAGAGUUUCAUGCAUCAUGCGCAAAAAAAAAUAAUUUACAUAAAAUAUUUUUUUUAUUUCAAACGAAAAAAAUUAGUUUAUAUUUGAGACAUUAUUAUUAUUUAUUUUAAUUUUAUUGGUUUAAAAAUAAAA
Molecule: long non-coding RNA, 760 nt
Filed under: Brassica napus (rape)
Lineage: Eukaryota; Viridiplantae; Streptophyta; Magnoliopsida; Brassicales; Brassicaceae
Description: long non-coding RNA (BNAP_LNC014642)
Source: RNAcentral